RNAcentral lists this ribosomal RNA (468 nucleotides) under uncultured bacterium. Its description in RNAcentral is "partial 16S ribosomal RNA". It matches the Rfam family "Bacterial small subunit ribosomal RNA", at positions 28 to 507 of the family's 1533-position model. The record is from RNAcentral.
GACGAACGCUGGCGGCGUGCUUAACACAUGCAAGUCGAACGGAAAGGCCCUGCUUUUGUGGGGUGCUCGAGUGGCGAACGGGUGAGUAACACGUGAGUAACCUGCCCUUGACUUUGGGAUAACUUCAGGAAACUGGGGCUAAUACCGGAUAGGAGCUCCUGCUGCAUGGUGGGGGUUGGAAAGUUUCGGCGGGUGGGGAUGGACUCGCGGCUUAUCAGCUUGUUGGUGGGGUAGUGGCUUACCAAGGCUUUGACGGGUAGCCGGCCUGAGAGGGUGACCGGCCACAUUGGGACUGAGAUACGGACCAGACUCCUACGGGAGACAGCAGUGGGGAAUAUUGCACAAUGGGAGGAAGCGUGAGGAAGCAACGCCGCGUGCGGGAUGACGGCCUGCGGGUUGUAAACAGCUUUCGCCUGUGACGAAGCGGGAGUGACGGUAAUGGGUAAAGAAGCACCGGCUAACUACGUG